RNAcentral lists this small nucleolar RNA (167 nucleotides) under Phialocephala subalpina. RNAcentral's name for it is "Small nucleolar RNA snR80". It matches the Rfam family "Small nucleolar RNA snR80". The record is from Rfam by way of RNAcentral. Lineage: Eukaryota; Fungi; Ascomycota; Leotiomycetes; Helotiales; Mollisiaceae.
GAGCCCUUGCCAAACACUCUGGCCCUUACCCCCUUCCCUUCGUGGAUCGGUUCAACCUAUGGUAUAGGCCUAUUUUUGAAGCAAGGAGAGCAGAUCUUGUCCGAUUACUCACCGCGACAUUCUCCUUCGGGCGUGGAUGUAGUGGUCCAUAUCUUUCUGGGCAACAU